GAACGGCAGGCUCGUGUCGGCGCUUGGUCCGAUGCUCCAAUUGCGGGGGUGGCGAGUCCUACUCCUCGUCUUCCUCCUCUUCCUCGCUAGUCUCUUCCUCCGACUCCCCGCUGUCGGAGACAUACUCAGCGCUCUCCACGCUGCCCUCUUGGCUGCCCUCUUCCUCCUCCUCGUCCGGGUUCCCGUUCGAGACAGGGGAAAACCAGUUGGUCCACUUCUGCGUGAAAAACAGUCGGCGACAUCAAGCGACAUGCAGAGAUUCAAGAAAGCAAUGAAACUAAAACAGAUACGUGUACUCAACACAUGGUACUCACCCGAUUCGGAGGAGGAUUCUCCGCGCUGAAAGCCCUCACUCGCCGAGACCCCCUGGGGUUCUCGC
RNAcentral lists this long non-coding RNA (379 nucleotides) under Hordeum vulgare. RNAcentral describes it as "long non-coding RNA (HVUL_LNC010419)". The record is from RNAcentral. Lineage: Eukaryota; Viridiplantae; Streptophyta; Magnoliopsida; Poales; Poaceae.